Molecule: ribosomal RNA, 247 nt
Filed under: uncultured Bacillaceae bacterium
Lineage: Bacteria; Bacillati; Bacillota; Bacilli; Caryophanales; Bacillaceae
Description: partial 16S ribosomal RNA
Rfam family: Bacterial small subunit ribosomal RNA
Source: RNAcentral
CACGCCGUAAACGAUGAGUGCUAGGUGUUAGGGGGUUUCCGCCCCUUAGUGCUGAAGUUAACGCAUUAAGCACUCCGCCUGGGGAGUACGGCCGCAAGGCUGAAACUCAAAAGAAUUGACGGGGGCCCGCACAAGCGGUGGAGCAUGUGGUUUAAUUCGAAGCAACGCGAAGAACCUUACCAGGUCUUGACAUCCUCUGCUAACACUAGAGAUAGUGUGUUCCCUUCGGGGACAGAGUGACAGGUGG